Molecule: ribosomal RNA, 613 nt
Filed under: Bacillus sp. (in: firmicutes)
Lineage: Bacteria; Bacillati; Bacillota; Bacilli; Caryophanales; Bacillaceae
Description: bacterial SSU rRNA
Rfam family: Bacterial small subunit ribosomal RNA
Source: RNAcentral
CAUGCAGUCGAGCGAAUGGAUUAAGAGCUUGCUCUUAUGAAGUUAGCGGCGGACGGGUGAGUAACACGUGGGUAACCUGCCCAUAAGACUGGGAUAACUCCGGGAAACCGGGGCUAAUACCGGAUAACAUUUUGAACCGCAUGGUUCGAAAUUGAAAGGCGGCUUCGGCUGUCACUUAUGGAUGGACCCGCGUCGCAUUAGCUAGUUGGUGAGGUAACGGCUCACCAAGGCAACGAUGCGUAGCCGACCUGAGAGGGUGAUCGGCCACACUGGGACUGAGACACGGCCCAGACUCCUACGGGAGGCAGCAGUAGGGAAUCUUCCGCAAUGGACGAAAGUCUGACGGAGCAACGCCGCGUGAGUGAUGAAGGCUUUCGGGUCGUAAAACUCUGUUGUUAGGGAAGAACAAGUGCUAGUUGAAUAAGCUGGCACCUUGACGGUACCUAACCAGAAAGCCACGGCUAACUACGUGCCAGCAGCCGCGGUAAUACGUAGGUGGCAAGCGUUAUCCGGAAUUAUUGGGCGUAAAGCGCGCGCAGGUGGUUUCUUAAGUCUGAUGUGAAAGCCCACGGCUCAACCGUGGAGGGUCAUUGGAAACUGGGAGACUUGAGUG